This 1145-nucleotide ribosomal RNA is filed under the name uncultured organism. RNAcentral's name for it is "bacterial SSU rRNA". It matches the Rfam family "Bacterial small subunit ribosomal RNA", at positions 40 to 1232 of the family's 1533-position model. The record is from RNAcentral.
CGGUCUGCUUACACAUGCAAGUCGAACGGAACCUUCGGGUUUAGUGGCGGACGGGUGAGUAAAGCGUGAGAAUCUGCCUCCAGGUCGGGGACAACAGCGGGAAACUGCUGCUAAUCUCGGAUGAGCCUAAGGGUAAAAGAUUUAUUGCCUGGAGAGGAGCUCGCGUCCGAUUAGCUAGUUGAUGAGGUAAGAGCUUACCAAGGCAACGAUCGGUAGCUGGUCUGAGAGGACGAUCAGCCACACUGGGACUGAGACACGGCCCAGACUCCUACGGGAGGCAGCAGUGGGGAAUUUUCCGCAAUGGGCGAAAGCCUGACGGAGCAAGACCGCGUGCGGGAGGAAGGCCCUUGGGUCGUAAACCGCUUUUCUUAGGGAAGAAGCUCUGACGGUACCUAAGGAAUCAGCCUCGGCUAACUCCGUGCCAGCAGCCGCGGUAAUACGGAGGAGGCAAGCGUUAUCCGGAAUUAUUGGGCGUAAAGCGUCCGCAGGCGGCUUACCAAGUCUGCUGUCAAAUACCAGAGCUCAACUCUGGGUCGGCGGUGGAAACUGGCAAGCUAGAGUACAGUAGGGGUAGAGGGAAUUCCCAGUGUAGCGGUGAAAUGCGUAGAGAUUGGGAAGAACACCGGUGGCGAAAGCGCUCUACUGGGCUGUAACUGACGCUGAGGGACGAAAGCUAGGGUAGCGAAAGGGAUUAGAUACCCCUGUAGUCUUAGCUGUAAACGAUGGAGACUAGGCGUGGCUUGUAUCGACCCGAGCCGUGCCGAAGCCAACGCGUUAAGUCUCCCGCCUGGGGAGUACGCACGCAAGUGUGAAACUCAAAGGAAUUGACGGGGGCCCGCACAAGCGGUGGAGUAUGUGGUUUAAUUCGAUGCAACGCGAAGAACCUUACCAAGGCUUGACAUCCCGCGAAUCCUGGUGAAAGCCGGGAGUGCCUUCGGGAGCGCGGAGACAGCUGGUGCAUGGCUGUCGUCAGCUCGUGUCGUGAGAUGUUGGGUUAAGUCCCGCAACGAGCGCAACCCUUGUCCUUAGUUGCCAGCAUUCAGUUGGGCACUCUAGGGAGACUGCCGGUGACAAACCGGAGGAAGGUGGGGAUGACGUCAAGUCAUCAUGCCCCUUACGUCUUGGGCUACACACGUACUACAAUG